GACUAGGGUUUUCAAUUUGUCAGAGCUAAUGGUGGGUGGCUUCGGUGUCUCAGACCCCGUAACGGGAGGAGGAGAGACCAGAGAAGGCUCGUUCUAUGACUCCGACUUCUUGCUUAACGGGGAGAACUGGUUGAAAAUUUCUGUCGGCUGAAUGAGCGACACCGGUUGAGCAUUCCUACAGCAUUUCCUUCCAGAAGCCUUGAGAAAACUGUUCGGCUGCGCGGAUUGUGCGAGGGGAUUUAUACUAUUGUACUUAUUGGUGGCACAAGGGCUCUUUCAUCCUUUCCUACACUUAAAUUACAAUUGCCUAACGAUUGCAUUUGAAGCUGGGCUUGCAGCACGGCUAUCAUCACCAUAAGGUGAUCGUUCUCCUGUAUAUUAUGAGUACAGCGACUGCAAUUAGAAGGCAUAAUGUUAAUGUUACUACUUAGCUUCGUCUGGUGGAGGUCAUGUAGAACCAUGUCCAGAUAAAGCGUCCGGAGUGAAAAAGUUUAAUUUAAAAAAGUUGAGCGAGGGGAACAUUUUUAAAAUAUAAAACGUUAAUUAAAAAGUAAAAACUGUGAAGUUGGCAGGUUGCAAAGUAACGUUAGCAACAAACCGUGCAGCAGCAGGUAAAGUUCACAAGUUGUGACCGGAAAUUACAAAUCUGUCGUUUCUCUUUGCUUAUUUGAGUUGUUCUUGCCAUAAUGUGGACUUGGUCUUUUACCAAAUAGGGCUAUCUUCUGUAUACCAACCAACCCUACCUUGUCACAACACAACUGAUUGGCUCAAACAGAUUAAGAAGGAAAGAAAUUCCACAAAUUAACUGUUUAACAAGGCACACCUGACCUCUUAAGGAUCGGAUACUUCAUCUCAAAUUCCGUCUAAAAUGACAGACCCAAAUCUAAAUCAAGUGGAGGACAUGAAGCAAGAACAUGAAUAUUCUUGAUACUAUUUGAAAUGAAACACUUUGAAGUUUGUGGAAAUGUGAAAUUAAUGUAGGAGAAUAUAACACAUAUCUGGUGAAAGUCAAAGCAAACAAACAUGUUUUCUAUAUAUUUUUUUUGCAUCAUCUUUGCAAUGCAAAGAAAGGCCAUACAUUUACCUAGGAAGCUGGGUGUAAUUGUGAUGUUGUCCACAAAAGGGUGGCAUUGUAUGUGCAAAGUUUCAGACUGAUAUGUUCAAGAAUGAGAGCUUAACUUUAUAUUUUGUAUCAAGUCUCCCAGGUGUCCCUCACGAGUUUGCCCAGAUGUACACAAGUGGCCGAAUUGGUCACUUGAUGCAUUUCCAAACAUUUAAGUUUACACUGACAAUGUCACUUGAUAAUUUAAAUCACUCAAGGAUAUGGUGGAAGCCUCCAACACGUCUAUCUUAAAACUCUCAAAUGACAUUUCCAGCCAAUCGGUCACAUGCAAGUCUCUGGAGCAGCUCUGUGAUGAGAUGCAGGUUAGCGCCAGGGCUACUACAGAUGACGUAGCCACCUGCCGAGAUGCAGUGAAGCAACUGCGAGAUAAAAUUACGUUGCAUGAAGACAGAGAGAAGAGAGUGAACAUACGUCUUGUGGGUCUGAAAGAAACGGCAGAAGGUUCUGACCCAAAAGGUUUUCUUCAGGAGAAUCUACCAAAAUGGAUACCGUUGCUACAGUGGUUCCUCCUUUAAAAACGAAUCAACCGUGGCCCUUGAGCAAUUUGCUCAAAAUCUCUACAGAAAAAAAGGAAGGAGAUCACGCAAGCCGAGUCCCAAGCAUCCGCUCAAACUCCAUGUGUGGGGGGAAAUUUCUCUCCAGGCAAUUUCUCGUCAGGCACCAGGCCCAUAUUGGAUUUUUGAUGAUAUCAUGGCUCGAGAUUUCUUUGAGGACUGUCAGAGAGGUGUUUAUGGGUACACAUCGUUUCUUUCGAGACAAUGACAUAAAACACGGGUUUGCAUUGCAAAUGAGGCCAUAAACUGGGUCAAGUCGCCAGCAGAGUCUCCUGAUUUAAACCCGAUCGAACUUGUUUGGCAUCAACUGAAAACAUUCAUCCGGAACUCUGCCAUGCCGACAGGCAAAGAUGAACUGGUCAAGGCCAUCAAGAUGUUUUGGCUAGAGAAAUUGAUGAUACAACAAUGCAACAAAUACAUUGGGGGAAAAAGUAUAUUGUCCUGUCAGUAGGAAACAUUUGCAUGAUGGGCUACAUUGUACA
Oncorhynchus keta (chum salmon) is the source of this 2159-nucleotide long non-coding RNA. RefSeq lists it as uncharacterized. NCBI's taxonomy places the organism in Eukaryota, Metazoa, Chordata, Actinopteri, Salmoniformes, Salmonidae. The transcript is spliced from 5 exons. The record is from RefSeq and is a predicted model, not a curated record.